UACGAAGGGGGCUAGCGUUUUUCGGAUUCAUUGGGCGUAAAGGGUGCGUAGGUGGUUGGGUAAGUCAAAUGUGAAAUCCCGGAGCUCAACUCCGGAACUGCAUUCGAUACUGCCCGGCUCGAGGAUUGGAGAGGAGACUGGAAUUCACGGUGUAGCAGUGAAAUGCGUAGAGAUCGUGAGGAACACCCGUGGCGAAGGCGGGUCUCUGGACAAUUCCUGACACUGAGGCACGAAGGCCAGGGGAGCAAACGGG
Molecule: ribosomal RNA, 253 nt
Filed under: uncultured bacterium
Lineage: Bacteria
Description: partial 16S ribosomal RNA
Rfam family: Bacterial small subunit ribosomal RNA
Source: RNAcentral